This 74-nucleotide transfer RNA is filed under the name Actinomycetota bacterium. Its description in RNAcentral is "tRNA-Met". It matches the Rfam family "tRNA". Rfam says of the family: Transfer RNA (tRNA) molecules are approximately 80 nucleotides in length. Their secondary structure includes four short double-helical elements and three loops (D, anti-codon, and T loops). The record is from RNAcentral. Lineage: Bacteria; Bacillati; Actinomycetota. RNAcentral also lists the same sequence under 1 other name.
CGCGGGGUGGAGCAGUCUGGAAGCUCGUUGGGCUCAUAACCCAAAGGUCGCUGGUUCAAAUCCAGCCCCCGCUA